This 253-nucleotide unclassified non-coding RNA is filed under the name uncultured Caryophanales bacterium. Its description in RNAcentral is "uncultured Bacillales bacterium contains 16S-23S intergenic spacer region". It matches the Rfam family "Bacterial small subunit ribosomal RNA", at positions 524 to 776 of the family's 1533-position model. Lineage: Bacteria; Bacillati; Bacillota; Bacilli; Caryophanales. The record is from RNAcentral.
UACGUAGGUGGCAAGCGUUGUCCGGAAUCAUUGGGCGUAAAGCGUGCGCAGGCGGCCUCUUAAGUCUGAUGUGAAAGCCCGCGGCUCAACCGGGGAGGGCCCAUGGAAACUGGGGGGCUUGAGUAUAGGAGAGGAGAGUGGAAUUCCACGUGUAGCGGUGAAAUGCGUAGAUAUGUGGAGGAACACCAGUGGCGAAGGCGACUCUUUGGCCUAUAACUGACGCUGAGGCGCGAAAGCGUGGGGAGCAAACAGG